UGACUCUAUAACUUCUAUAC
This 20-nucleotide small nuclear RNA is filed under the name Arabidopsis thaliana (thale cress). RNAcentral describes it as "snRNA_05750". Lineage: Eukaryota; Viridiplantae; Streptophyta; Magnoliopsida; Brassicales; Brassicaceae. The record is from RNAcentral.